UGAGUAACCUGCCCCUGACUUCGGGAUAAGCCUGGGGAAACCGGGUCUAAUACCGGAUACAACGGACCACCGCAUGGCGGUCCGUGGAAAGCUUUAUGCGGUUUUGGAUGGACUCGCGGCCUAUCAGCUAGUUGGUUGGGGUAAUGGCCCACCAAGGCGACGACGGGUAGCCGGCCUGAGAGGGUGACCGGCCACACUGGGACUGAGACACGGCCCAGACUCCUACGGGAGGCAG
Molecule: ribosomal RNA, 235 nt
Filed under: uncultured bacterium
Lineage: Bacteria
Description: partial 16S ribosomal RNA
Rfam family: Bacterial small subunit ribosomal RNA
Source: RNAcentral